Molecule: ribosomal RNA, 422 nt
Filed under: uncultured bacterium
Lineage: Bacteria
Description: partial 16S ribosomal RNA
Rfam family: Bacterial small subunit ribosomal RNA
Source: RNAcentral
AAUAUUGGACAAUGGGGGCAACCCUGAUCCAGCCAUGCCGCGUGUGUGAAGAAGGUCUUCGGAUUGUAAAGCACUGUAAGUUGGGAGGAAGGGCUUUAGGCUAAUACCCUGAAGUUUUGACGUUCCCAAAAGAAUAAGCAUCGGCUAACGCUGUGCCAGCAGCUGCGGUAAUACAGAGGGUGCAAGCGUUAAUCGGAUUUACUGGGCAUAAAGCGCGCGUAGGUGGUUCAGUAAGAUGGGUGUGAAAUCCCCGGGCUUAACCUGGGAACUGCUUUCAUAACUGCUGAGCUAGAGUACGGUAGAGGGUAGUGUAAUUUCCUGUGUAGCGGUGAAAUGCGUAGAUAUAGGAAGGAACACCAGUGGCGAAGGCGACUACCUGGACUGAUACUGACACUGAGGUGCGAAAGCGUGGGGAGCAAACA